GCCUCGCUAAACGAUGCACACCUGUAACUCACGUGACCCUGAUUAUUAUUGAAACGAGAACGAGGGCGUCGUGCCUUUAUAAGACUGCGUUAAUGGCGUUAAUGUUUCCGUGGAGUUAUCCCUUCCGUUGUUGUUUAUUGAUUGUUAAACAUGGCUUCAUUUGCAAAGGUGGUUGUGUGUGUCCUCAUUGCCUUUGUCUGUAAUGCAUUCUGUUUUACGAAGAGAGAUGUGAACUUUAAGGCCUCUGCAGUUGACCGCCAAAGUGAUGAUGUGGUUGUCACCACAACACCCAAUCCCCACAACCAGACCACAUCUGCCCAUACUGAAGCUGGUGGUGGUGCAAGUGAAGAUGCUGUGGCUACUACCCCAGCACCUAAUCCACACAACCAGACAACUUCUGCACAAACUGAAGUUACUGAUGGAGCCAGUGAAGAUGCUGAGGACCGCCAAAGUGAUGAUAUGGUUGUCACCACAACACCCAAUCCCCACAACCAGACCACAUCUGCCCAUACUGAAGCUGGUGGUGAGCCAGUGAAGAUGCUGAGGACCGCCAAAGUGAUGAUGUGGUUGUCACCACAACACCCAAUCCCCACAACCAGACCACAUCUGCCCCUACUGAAGCUGGUGAUGGAGCAAGUGAAGAUGCUGUGGCUACCACCCCAACACCAAAUCCCCCAACUACAUCUGACCACACUGCAGCUACCGAUGAUGCAAGUGAGGGUGCUGUGGCUGCCCAAACUGGAACUACUGUAUCCCAUACGACUGAAGUCUGAUUCGACUGCUCCUCUGGACACAAUGACCUGAGUCACUGUCUGGACUUUUUGCCUCUACAUGUUGACUGCAAUAAAGGACAGAUUUGUUGUUUUUAAUCAAAUGUUGUCUUGCCUUUUUCAAAUUGAGGCCUUGUCCUGUUUUGGUGGUGGAGAUGACUAUGAAGCCUCUUUCCUAACGUAUUUCCUGUAGUGGUUUUACUAUAUGCUUCAUGCAACAAGGCCUUCAACGACUCUACAAAUUGUGUCUGAAUUUGUAGAAUGGUUGAACUGGUAGUGAUGCACUAUAAUGGUGAACUGCUUGUGGCAUUUCAAAAAUCUCUACUGUACUGUUUGACAUGUACAUCUCAAGUGAAUUUGCGUGGUAAUUGGUAAACCGAUGUCCGUCCCUACUAAGGGAGUACUGGCCUUAGUAGGCUAACCCCCUGAAAGGCAUUCAAACAAUAACAGCCUAGUUGCGGCUGAGGGAACCUUGCCAUUGUGUUAACUGGUGUCUCUUGGCAAUACAGUUUACAAUGUUGUGCUGUGAAAGCUUUUCAUGCGUUUCAUGGGGUAUUUAGUCCCAGAGCAGCAGGGACCAAGUGCAUAGCCAGGAUGGGUAGUGGGACUCUCUCGUUCACAGGACCAUAUACAAUCAAAAUAGAAAUAUCAAAACUUGUCAAUCAAUGUAACGGCUAUAUAAAUGACAUACAGUGUAUGUACUUAACUUUUUAACACAG
Long non-coding RNA from Clupea harengus (Atlantic herring), 1489 nucleotides. Lineage: Eukaryota; Metazoa; Chordata; Actinopteri; Clupeiformes; Clupeidae. The record is from Ensembl.